GCUCUUUUAGCUUAAGAAAAGUAUAAUACUGAAAAUAUUAAGAUAUUAUUUAUAAUUUAGAGCA
Molecule: transfer RNA, 64 nt
Filed under: Megalurothrips usitatus (bean blossom thrips)
Lineage: Eukaryota; Metazoa; Arthropoda; Insecta; Thysanoptera; Thripidae
Description: tRNA-Phe
Rfam family: tRNA
About the family: Transfer RNA (tRNA) molecules are approximately 80 nucleotides in length.
Source: RNAcentral